Molecule: unclassified non-coding RNA, 75 nt
Filed under: Flavobacterium terrae
Lineage: Bacteria; Pseudomonadati; Bacteroidota; Flavobacteriia; Flavobacteriales; Flavobacteriaceae
Description: Flavo-1 RNA
Source: RNAcentral
GUUGAACACUGAGUGUUUAAGUGUAAAUCCUAUAUAAUUUUAAUUAUAAAGAUUGCAACGAAAGCAGGAAAUACC